AGAGUUUGAUCCUGGCUCAGGAUGAACGCUGGCGGCGUGCUUAACACAUGCAAGUCGAACGUGAAGGUAUAGCAAUAUACCUGAAAGUGGCGCACGGGUGAGUAACACGUAGGUAAUCUACCUUUGAGUGGGGAAUAACGUUCGGAAACGAACGCUAAUACCGCAUAAUGCAGCGGCACCGCAAGGUGACAGUUGUUAAAGGAGCAAUCCGCUUAAAGAGGAGCCUGCGGCAGAUUAGCUAGUUGGUAAGGUAAUGGCUUACCAAGGCGACGAUCUGUAACCGACCUGAGAGGGUGGUCGGUCACACUGACACUGAAUAACGGGUCAGACUCCUACGGGAGGCAGCAGUCGGGAAUUUUGGGCAAUGGGCGAAAGCCUGACCCAGCAACGCCGCGUGAAGGAUGAAGUAUUUCGGUAUGUAAACUUCGAAAGAAUGGGAAGAAUAAAUGACGGUACCAUUUAUAAGGUCCGGCUAACUACGUGCCAGCAGCCGCGGUAAUACGUAGGGACCAAGCGUUGUUCGGAUUUACUGGGCGUAAAGGGCGCGUAGGCGGCGUGUUAAGUCAGCUGUGAAAUCUCCGAGCUUAACUCGGAACGGUCAGCUGAUACUGAUGUGCUAGAGUGCAGAAGGGGCAAUCGGAAUUCUUGGUGUAGCGGUGAAAUGCGUAGAUAUCAAGAGGAACACCUGAGGUGAAGACGGGUUGCUGGGCUGACACUGACGCUGAGGCGCGAAAGCUAGGGUAGCAAACGGGAUUAGAUACCCCAGUAGUCC
This 772-nucleotide ribosomal RNA is filed under the name uncultured bacterium. RNAcentral describes it as "bacterial SSU rRNA". It matches the Rfam family "Bacterial small subunit ribosomal RNA", at positions 8 to 796 of the family's 1533-position model. The record is from RNAcentral.